RNA transcript from Papilio xuthus (Asian swallowtail), 1549 nucleotides. RefSeq lists it as uncharacterized. The transcript has 4 exons. The record is from RefSeq and is a predicted model, not a curated record. NCBI's taxonomy places the organism in Eukaryota, Metazoa, Arthropoda, Insecta, Lepidoptera, Papilionidae.
CCUAGGUUUCGAGACGAAUUCAAUAAAUUGACGCAUGCGCUAUGACAUUUGAUGGGAGCGGGGGAGUCUGCGCUUGUGUCUCCGCCGCGCCCACUUCGACUUCGGCGGCGGAGGCGGCUGGUGCGAUGCGGGACUCUGAGCAGAUUCUAGCCAAGCAGCCUGCAGCAUUUGGUGGUUGAAGAUCUACAACCAGAUGCAGUGGAGUCCGGCGCUGCGAGGAUGUCAUGGAACUAAUUCAGGCCUAUGAGUAUCUUUCUCGUUGCUUUUGUGUCAUCGGUGUUAUUGAAUGAUUAUAUGUGUAGGUCAGAUGGCAGUGGCUUCCAACAACCAGCCGGCCAAGUUAGCCUGGCCGUUUCGUUGACUGGGGACUCAGCGCGGCGCGGAUCACCAGCUAAACACGGGAUUAAACAAACGAAAAGUGCUGCGCACGCGCAGCCGGUGCGGGCUCCGUGCGCGACAGUGCCGCCCCUAUGCGGUGCGCGGGUGGGUCUUGUCUAAGACCCGCCUACUUUGAAGAUUCGUCAAGAAAUAAGUGCUGUGUGUGAAGUGCGCAUGCGCAAUGUGCAUAAGUCUUUGUAGUGUUGUGCGUGUCUAAGUGCGGUUUCCCCCUUCUGAAACGAUGCCCUUAUCAAUCGAAAAUUACCAAUAUAAAAACACUAAGCUUUAGAUACGAACAAUAAGAUAAUAGAAAUAAGCUAAAAUAAGCUAUAUUUAAGUUAAUAGUAAUACCGGUAUUAAGUAAUUAUGAGUCGUACGACUUCAAACUAAUGUUAAGAUUUAAAAAUAUUGCAAAAUUUUUAUAAGUUUGCAAUCCUAUAGAAGGCCUUCUAAAAUGCGGUUUAAUUUAUAAUUUUAUCAAUUUAACAAUUCAAGUGGCAUCGUUUUUAAAGAAAUUUUAUCUUCACAUUUCACAUUUCCGAGCAAAAAAGUAAGUCAUUAACAAAGUUUUUUUUAAAUUACGUACAUUUUUAAAUCUAACAAGUAUAUGAAAUAAUAUAAUUAAACAUUUAAAUAAAUCUAUUCCCACGUGUAUUCCUAAAUAUACCUUCACUAGCUGUUGCCCAAGACUCCGUCCGCGCGAAAUAAAAAAAAACAUGUAAUAAGUAACGUAACGGUAUUCUUACGAUGAAGGAAAACAUGGCGAUGCAACCUGCACAUAUCUGUGAAGAAAUUCAAAAGAUAUUUGUAAAGUCAACUUAGCUGCACAUGGCCAACGUGGUUGACUAUCACCUAGUCACCCCUAACUUAGGGUAGGCUCCGAGCCCCUCGGUGUUAAAGUAGCCUAAGUGUUCUUCCAAUCUGUUCUCCAUCUGUGCCAAAAUUCAUCAAGAUCUCCGUUGCGGAGAUACCUUCGAACAAACAUCCAUUCAUCCAUCUAAACAUUCGCAUUUAUAACAUUAAUAAUAUAACAAGCUGUCGCCCGCGACUCCGUCCACGCGGAAUUAACAAAAAGCUCAACUAGUAUGCCUAAUUGUUCUUCCUGACUGUGUUCUACAUCUAUGCCAUAUUACAGCAAGAUCCAUCGAGCCAUUCUGAAGAUACCUUCAAA